RNAcentral lists this long non-coding RNA (686 nucleotides) under Anser brachyrhynchus (Pink-footed goose). Its description in RNAcentral is "lncRNA (ENSABRG00000004873.1)". Lineage: Eukaryota; Metazoa; Chordata; Aves; Anseriformes; Anatidae. The record is from RNAcentral.
UGGGUGACAUCAUAACUCAGAGCAAUUUUAUUCUGAGUACAGUCAGGAAUAAAUUGGAAUAAAAGUUCUAAUCUGUCUUCACAUAGAUGUAAAGUUUACUCUCAGACAUCUGGUUGCAGACAUUGAAGCAGUUUUCUAUUUUAAGUCAUAGCAUUUACUUCUCAUAGAAACUAUUACACAGAAGAAGUACUUUGCCUAGAAAUGUUAUGAAAACAGAGUCUCAGAAAUGUCUGACCAUCGUUCAUCCCUCUCGCACAGGCCCAUGCCCAGGUGAGACCAACCCCAUGGAAGUGCCUGUGAUGGUUUCCAAAACACCUCCUCCCCCCUGGAAAAGAGAGGUUGCUCUGAGCAUGACCCCUCCUGCCUGCUGACAGCAAGUGCUGGUUCAACACAGAUACCUGGAGCAGAAUUAGUGAAAAGCUUUGUACGAGACUGCAGGGCAAAUUCAGGCUCAUGGAGCUUUUCCUGCUUAGACUGAAUCAUGACGUUCAGACUGGAGUCACGUUUUCUCUGGUGGCAGCAGCACUGAGAUUUCUGAAGCAGAUGCUCUGUAAUCUUCAGCCACGCCUGGAUAUCCUCUGUCAUCAGGUAAAGCCCAUACUGGUGAGGAACUCACGUUGCCAACAGCCACUUUCUUCAGGGUGGAGCUAAUGAACCUUGGAAAACGAGAUGCUGGUUCAGAAAAG